This 72-nucleotide transfer RNA is filed under the name Candidatus Dojkabacteria bacterium CG_4_10_14_0_2_um_filter_Dojkabacteria_WS6_41_15. RNAcentral's name for it is "tRNA-Lys". It matches the Rfam family "tRNA". From Rfam's summary of the family: Transfer RNA (tRNA) molecules are approximately 80 nucleotides in length. Their secondary structure includes four short double-helical elements and three loops (D, anti-codon, and T loops). The record is from RNAcentral. RNAcentral also lists the same sequence under 2 other names.
GGGUCGAUAGCUCAACGGUAGAGCAUCUGACUUUUAAUCAGUUGGUUCGGGGUUCGAAUCCCCGUCGACCCA